This 253-nucleotide ribosomal RNA is filed under the name uncultured bacterium. RNAcentral's name for it is "partial 16S ribosomal RNA". It matches the Rfam family "Bacterial small subunit ribosomal RNA", at positions 524 to 776 of the family's 1533-position model. The record is from RNAcentral.
UACGAAGGGAGCUAGCGUUGUUCGGAAUCACUGGGCGUAAAGCGCACGUAGGCGGAUGCGGGCGUCGGUGCGGAAAGGUCGCCGCUUAACGGCGGAGAGCGUACCGAUACGCCGCGUCUGGAGCGCGGGCGAGGGUGGUGGAAUUGCCGGUGUAGUGGUGAAAUGCGUAGAGAUCGGCAGGAACACCCGUGGCGCAAGCGGCCACCUAGCCCGUUGCUGACGCUGAGGCGCGACAGCGUGGGGAGCGAACUGG